RNAcentral lists this long non-coding RNA (1186 nucleotides) under Monodelphis domestica (gray short-tailed opossum). Its description in RNAcentral is "lncRNA (ENSMODG00000047934.1)". Lineage: Eukaryota; Metazoa; Chordata; Mammalia; Didelphimorphia; Didelphidae. The record is from RNAcentral.
UCCUAACUGCUCUCCGCAGAAGAAAAUUCAUCUUUAAAUAGUACAAACUGCAUUCUAGGAUAGAUAUCAACCUCCUCCCCGCCCCCAUCCAACAGACACUCACAUAGGGAGAAAUCACUUCGCUAUUUCUGCUAAAGCCACUGGUUUCCUGCAGAUAGUCCUUUAUCUAUCCUAGCCACACUGUAAUUCUCUAAUAAGUGGUGAAAAUUGCAUGGUUUCUGCAGAAAAGAAAAUGAAAGAUCUUGGAAAUUUGUUAAUCACUGUAAUGAACAGAAAAACAGGAAAUUAUGUUUCUGAAGUAAUGUGCCAACGUUGGGGUUUUGCUACAGAAGAAAAAGUAGGGUUUGUAGAUAAAUAUGUCAAACGUAUGUGCAUGUAUACUGAUGUCAUGCAUUUGGUGUGUGGCCUGUUUCACACAUAAACACUUUGUGCAUAUGUAUGUGUAUAUGUACAUAUAUGUGAACGUUUAAUUGCUUUCAUAGCUAAGUUGGGUGACCCACUGCUGUAAAAAUCCUUUUAUUUUUUUUAAUAUUCUCUGAGAGAAGAAUAUGACAGUGAGUGGUCCAAUAGCAGGGUCUCAAGUCAAAACUAGGGAUCCAUUAGAGCAUAUUUCUAAUGAUAGCUUGUCUGUCAAAAAAGGCAGACAGAACAAUAUCAAAGGCAUAUAUGACCUCAGAAGGGGAACUCAUUGUGUGAAAAGAAUGACAGACAAGAGUGACACAGAGGCAUGUCUGAGAUGGGAAAAGGAGCAGAGGACACCCCUCCAGGACAUUGGGGAGGCGGUGUUUUUAGCAAUCCUGCCAGCAAAAGGUCUCCAUUGUCUCCCAAAGAAGUCAACAAAAAACAAGCACAAGAUUUUGUUAUUUGCACCUUUUAGUCAAUUUUAUUACUAAAAUAUGUGGUCAAGUAUGACAUAUUGCUUAUAAAAGUUUGCCUUUUCUCUUCUCACACAUUUAUCAAAAAUGUCUUUGAUACAUGGACAUGUGGUUCUAUAGUGUUAAAUGUUCUAAUCACCCCUUUUUUCAAGCAGCAGCCUGGCACCAUAGAUAGGUUGCUAUCCUUUAAGUUAUCAGAUAAACAUCUAUAUGAAUCCCACCACUGAUAACUGGUUGCUCUGCAACCAUACAAAAUCAUCUUAUUCUCUUUUAAGUCUCAGUUUCUUAAUCUUUAAAAUGGAGAUAAUAAC